This 815-nucleotide ribosomal RNA is filed under the name uncultured bacterium. RNAcentral describes it as "bacterial SSU rRNA". It matches the Rfam family "Bacterial small subunit ribosomal RNA", at positions 56 to 868 of the family's 1533-position model. The record is from RNAcentral.
UGCAGUCGAACGGCAGCGCGGGAGCAAUCCUGGCGGCGAGUGGCGAACGGGUGAGUAAUACAUCGGAACGUGCCCAAUCGUGGGGGAUAACGCAGCGAAAGCUGUGCUAAUACCGCAUACGAUCUACGGAUGAAAGCAGGGGAUCGCAAGACCUUGCGCGAAUGGAGCGGCCGAUGGCAGAUUAGGUAGUUGGUGAGGUAAAGGCUCACCAAGCCUUCGAUCUGUAGCUGGUCUGAGAGGACGACCAGCCACACUGGGACUGAGACACGGCCCAGACUCCUACGGGAGGCAGCAGUGGGGAAUUUUGGACAAUGGGCGAAAGCCUGAUCCAGCCAUGCCGCGUGCAGGAUGAAGGCCUUCGGGUUGUAAACUGCUUUUGUACGGAACGAAACGGUCUUUUCUAAUAAAGAAGGCUAAUGACGGUACCGUAAGAAUAAGCACCGGCUAACUACGUGCCAGCAGCCGCGGUAAUACGUAGGGUGCAAGCGUUAAUCGGAAUUACUGGGCGUAAAGCGUGCGCAGGCGGUUAUGUAAGACAGUUGUGAAAUCCCCGGGCUCAACCUGGGAACUGCAUCUGUGACUGCAUAGCUAGAGUACGGUAGAGGGGGAUGGAAUUCCGCGUGUAGCAGUGAAAUGCGUAGAUAUGCGGAGGAACACCGAUGGCGAAGGCAAUCCCCUGGACCUGUACUGACGCUCAUGCACGAAAGCGUGGGGGGCAAACAGGAUUAGAUACCCUGGUAGUCCACGCCCUAAACGAUGUCAACUGGUUGUUGGGUCUUCACUGACUCAGUAACGAAGCUAACGCGUGAAGUUGA